This 445-nucleotide ribosomal RNA is filed under the name uncultured bacterium. RNAcentral describes it as "bacterial SSU rRNA". It matches the Rfam family "Bacterial small subunit ribosomal RNA", at positions 331 to 792 of the family's 1533-position model. The record is from RNAcentral.
CCAGACUCCUACGGGAGGCAGCAGUGGGGAAUAUUGCACAAUGGGGGGAACCCUGAUGCAGCGACGCCGCGUGAGUGAAGAAGGAUUUCGGAAUGUAAAGCUCUGUCAGCAGGGAAGAAUAAAGACGGUACCUGACCAAGAAGCACCGGCUAACUCCGUGCCAGCAGCCGCGGUAAUACGGAGGGGGCAAGCGUUAAUCGGAAUUACUGGGCGUAAAGCGCUCGUAGGCGGUAUGUCAAGUCAGGGGUGAAAUCCCCGCGCUCAACGUGGGAACUGCAUUUGAAACUGGCAAACUGGAGUGUGGGAGAGGAUAGUGGAAUUCCAGGUGUAGGAGUGAAAUCCGUAGAUAUCUGGAGGAACAUCAGUGGCGAAGGCGACUAUCUGGCACAUAACUGACGCUGAGGAGCGAAAGCGUGGGUAGCAAACAGGAUUAGAUACCCCGGUA